RNAcentral lists this transfer RNA (72 nucleotides) under Planctomycetota bacterium. Its description in RNAcentral is "Planctomycetes bacterium (bioreactor metagenome) tRNA-Ile". It matches the Rfam family "tRNA". From Rfam's summary of the family: Transfer RNA (tRNA) molecules are approximately 80 nucleotides in length. Their secondary structure includes four short double-helical elements and three loops (D, anti-codon, and T loops). RNAcentral also lists the same sequence under 2 other names. The record is from RNAcentral. Lineage: Bacteria; Pseudomonadati; Planctomycetota.
CCUCCCGUAGCUCAGGGGCAGAGCCGCAUCCUUAUAAGUUGCAGGUCGUCGGUUCGAAUCCGACCGGGAGGA